GAAAACUAUUUAUAUUUGUCUUAAGCAUAUUAAAUAUUAAAUAUAUUUUUAUAUAAUUUUAAGUUUUUAGAUUUAUCUCUCAAAAUAUUUUAGCAGUUUUAAAUAUAUUUCUAUUUUUAGUUAACCAGAAGUAAAUACUUAAUCUUGAUUAGUAAGUAAGGUAAAUUAAUUUUUUUACAUCUCUAAUAAUAUUUUUCUUAAUCAAAAUUCUAAUAAUGAAAACUCUUCUCUUUUGUGCCACUUUUAAAUUUGCAAUUAGAAUUUUUAUUCAUCCACAAUGCGUAUUGUUUCGUCCAUAUCAAGCACCCUUUCUCCGAGGAGAUCAGGGUGAGAUAGUCAACUUGAUGUUUUCAGGUUGAUGUUUUUAAUGCAUUUAUAGGAAAUUUUCAAUUUUGCUCGAAAUGGUUUAGGAGAGAGAAAAAUCACGUCAAAGUAUUAGAUAUACGAGGAAUGCUUCAAUACACCAGGUAAAAUAAAUCUAAUCGUUCAUAUUUUAAGAGCGAGAUUAACUUUUGCAUAGUGGUUACAUGCUCAACAGGUUACCAUUCGUAAGGAUAAUAUGAAAAAAAAAUACAAACUAAUUGCCAAAUUUGAUCAACCUUAUACAAAUAUUUGUUUCCUUAUUUAAUUUUGUUACUUACCAAAUUAAAUAGUGCUAAUUUGAUAAGUAAUAAAUCUUUAUAAAUUGAAUUUAAAAUUCAAUUUGAGCUUAAACUUUAAAAUUGUGUACAUUAAAUUCAAAUUUAAUUUUAAUUUUUAUUUACAGAAUGAAAAAAUUUAUGUUUAAAUGAAUAGUAUAUUUCAAUUCAAAUUGUUAAUUUGAUAUAUUAAAAUGACACGAAAUUUAGUUUCUUUUUACAGAGGAAAAAGGACGAUCAUUUGAAAUUUUUGGAAAGACAUAUUUGUGAUGAUAAAAUUGAUACUUCACUUAUCUUCUGUUAAAACAAUAAAAAGCGAGCUAAUGGUAACAAACAAAAUGAGCAAAUAUAAAUAUCACUGAACUUUAGAAGGAAUAAAUAUGAAAAUUUGAACUUUGUAGGGACAUCUACUAU
Molecule: long non-coding RNA, 1052 nt
Filed under: Ananas comosus (pineapple)
Lineage: Eukaryota; Viridiplantae; Streptophyta; Magnoliopsida; Poales; Bromeliaceae
Description: long non-coding RNA (ACOM_LNC002455)
Source: RNAcentral